This 53-nucleotide non-coding RNA is filed under the name Trichobilharzia regenti. Lineage: Eukaryota; Metazoa; Platyhelminthes; Trematoda; Strigeidida; Schistosomatidae. The record is from RNAcentral.
GCACUGAUGAAGAGUCCCAAACGAAGACUUAGGACGAAACAGAUGUCCAGUAC